This 348-nucleotide unclassified non-coding RNA is filed under the name soil metagenome. RNAcentral describes it as "partial contains 5.8S ribosomal RNA, internal transcribed spacer 2, and large subunit ribosomal RNA". The stretch from base 1 to 120 matches the Rfam family "5.8S ribosomal RNA", at positions 35 to 154 of the family's 154-position model. The record is from RNAcentral.
GAUGAAGAACGCAGCGAAAUGCGAUAAGUAAUGUGAAUUGCAGAAUUCAGUGAAUCAUCGAGUCUUUGAACGCACAUUGCGCCCCCUGGUAUUCCGGGGGGCAUGCCUGUCCGAGCGUCAUUGCCGCCCUCAAGCACGGCUUGUGUGUUGGGCCCCCGCCCCCCGGCUUCGGGGGGCGGGCCCGAAAGGCAGCGGCGGCACCGCGUCCGGUCCUCGAGCGUAUGGGGCUUCGUCACCCGCUCUGUAGGCCCGGCCGGCGCCCGGCGGCGACCCCAAUCAAUCUUUCCAGGUUGACCUCGGAUCAGGUAGGGAUACCCGCUGAACUUAAGCAUAUCAAUAAGCGGAGGA